Long non-coding RNA from Quercus lobata, 592 nucleotides. RefSeq lists it as uncharacterized. Lineage: Eukaryota; Viridiplantae; Streptophyta; Magnoliopsida; Fagales; Fagaceae. The transcript is spliced from 2 exons. The record is from RefSeq and is a predicted model, not a curated record.
CCCUCUUCUUCUCUCACUCACACACACACACUUGCAAACACUCUCUAGGACAUCUUAGGCUCAGUUUCUCCAAGAAUUUAAGCUACACAUUCAGAAUGGGUGGCAACGGUGGUGGCAAAGGAGGAGGAAGUGGUGGUGGUGGAGGUGGCAAAGGAGGCGGUGGCACUGGCGGUGGUGCAGCCAAAAGUGGUGGGGGUGGCUCUACGGGCGGUGGCAGUGGUGGCAAGAUGGUUGCUCCGGGGAGUGGAGGAGGAUCACGCAUUUCAAGGGACUCUUUUCAAAGUAACCCCCAGAUUUAUUUUGCUGGACUACAUGCUGGUCAAAAGGGCAAAAAAUAGUUGUUCUUGUUAAGUACUGCAUGGGAAAAUAUCUUAUUAAUUCUGCUUUAUCGAUAUUAUAUAUAAUAUGUGAUUGAAUAAUAUUAAAGUUUGUAAUGGGCUUGCUAUCCAUAUGAAUCAUAUGCUUGGUAGACAUAUGAAUCAUAUGCUUGGGUAGAUAUCCCUCUUAGGCUUUCUGAUGAUAGUAGUAAUGUGUGCUGUGUAAUAUAUGGUUUUUGUUAAUAAAAUAAUUUUAAUGUCCUACUUGCUUUUGU